RNAcentral lists this ribosomal RNA (495 nucleotides) under uncultured bacterium. RNAcentral describes it as "partial 16S ribosomal RNA". It matches the Rfam family "Bacterial small subunit ribosomal RNA", at positions 28 to 505 of the family's 1533-position model. The record is from RNAcentral.
GAUGAACGCUGGCGGCGUGCCUAAUACAUGCAAGUCGAGCGAACGGACGAGAAGCUUGCUUCUCUGAUGUUAGCGGCGGACGGGUGAGUAACACGUGGAUAACCUACCUAUAAGACUGGGAUAACUUCGGGAAACCGGAGCUAAUACCGGAUGAUAUUUUGAACCGCAUGGUUCAAAAGUGAAAGACGGUCUUGCUGUCACUUAUAGAUGGAUCCGCGCUGCAUUAGCUAGUUGGUAAGGUAACGGCUUACCAAGGCAACGAUGCAUAGCCGACCUGAGAGGGUGAUCGGCCACACUGGAACUGAGACACGGUCCAGACUCCUACGGGAGGCAGCAGUAGGGAAUCUUCCGCAAUGGGCGAAAGCCUGACGGAGCAACGCCGCGUGAGUGAUGAAGGCCUUCGGAUCGUAAAACUCUGUUAUUAGGGAAGAACAUAUGUGUAAGUAACUGUGCACAUCUUGACGGUACCUAAUCAGAAAGCCACGGCUAACUACG